AGUUCCCUACGGGGCGCAGCAGUGGGGAAUAUUGCACAAUGGGGGAAACCCUGAUGCAGCAACGCCGCGUGAAGGAAGACGGUUUUCGGAUUGUAAACUUCUGUUCUUAGUGAAGAAGAAUGACGGUAGCUAAGGAGCAAGCCACGGCUAACUACGUGCCAGCAGCCGCGGUAAUACGUAGGUGGCAAGCGUUGUCCGGAAUUACUGGGUGUAAAGGGAGCGCAGGCGGGAAGCCAAGGCAGCUGUGAAAACUACGGGCCUAACUUGUAGACUGCAGUUGAAACUGGUUUUCUU
This 294-nucleotide ribosomal RNA is filed under the name uncultured bacterium. RNAcentral's name for it is "partial 16S ribosomal RNA". It matches the Rfam family "Bacterial small subunit ribosomal RNA", at positions 333 to 643 of the family's 1533-position model. The record is from RNAcentral.